UCUUCUUUUCACUAAACAACUGUUUUCAUGCCUUCCAGUCAGUUUUUUGACCACACCAGACAGCUGUUCAAUGACAC
This is a long non-coding RNA of Etheostoma cragini (Arkansas darter), 77 nucleotides long. RefSeq lists it as uncharacterized. NCBI's taxonomy places the organism in Eukaryota, Metazoa, Chordata, Actinopteri, Perciformes, Percidae. The record is from RefSeq and is a predicted model, not a curated record. The transcript has 3 exons.